This 135-nucleotide ribosomal RNA is filed under the name uncultured bacterium. Its description in RNAcentral is "partial 16S ribosomal RNA". It matches the Rfam family "Bacterial small subunit ribosomal RNA", at positions 355 to 507 of the family's 1533-position model. The record is from RNAcentral.
UGAGGAAUUUUGCGCAAUGGGGGAAACCCUGACGCAGCGACGCCGCGUGGAGGAUGACGUCCUUCGGGAUGUAAACUCCUGUCAGAGGGGAUGAUGAUGACAGUACCCUCAGAGGAAGCACCGGCUAACUCCGUG